Molecule: ribosomal RNA, 1341 nt
Filed under: uncultured bacterium
Lineage: Bacteria
Description: partial 16S ribosomal RNA
Rfam family: Bacterial small subunit ribosomal RNA
Source: RNAcentral
GACGAACGCUGGCGGCGUGCUUAACACAUGCAAGUUGAACGGUAAGGCUCCAGCUUGCUGGGGUACACGAGUGGCGAACGGGUGAGUAACACGUGGGUGACCUGCCCUGCACUUCGGGAUAAGCCUGGGAAACUGGGUCUAAUACCGGAUAGGACCGCACCGUGAGGGUGUGGUGGAAAGUUUUUUCGGUGUGGGAUGGGCCCGCGGCCUAUCAGCUUGUUGGUGGGGUAAUGGCCUACCAAGGCGGCGACGGGUAGCCGGCCUGAGAGGGUGGACGGCCACAUUGGGACUGAGACACGGCCCAGACUCCUACGGGAGGCAGCAGUGGGGAAUAUUGCACAAUGGGCGGAAGCCUGAUGCAGCGACGCCGCGUGGGGGAUGACGGCCUUCGGGUUGUAAACUCCUUUCACCAUCGACGAAGGGUUUCUGACGGUAGAUGGAGAAGAAGCACCGGCUAACUACGUGCCAGCAGCCGCGGUAAUACGUAGGGUGCGAGCGUUGUCCGGAAUUACUGGGCGUAAAGAGCUCGUAGGUGGUUUGUCGCGUCGUCUGUGAAAUUCCGGGGCUUAACUCCGGGCGUGCAGGCGAUACGGGCAUAACUUGAGUACUGUAGGGGAGACUGGAAUUCCUGGUGUAGCGGUGAAAUGCGCAGAUAUCAGGAGGAACACCGGUGGCGAAGGCGGGUCUCUGGGCAGUAACUGACGCUGAGGAGCGAAAGCAUGGGGAGCGAACAGGAUUAGAUACCCUGGUAGUCCAUGCCGUAAACGGUGGGCGCUAGGUGUGGGUUUCCUUCCACGGGAUCCGUGCCGUAGCUAACGCAUUAAGCGCCCCGCCUGGGGAGUACGGCCGCAAGGCUAAAACUCAAAGGAAUUGACGGGGGCCCGCACAAGCGGCGGAGCAUGUGGAUUAAUUCGAUGCAACGCGAAGAACCUUACCUGGGCUUGACAUAUACAGGAUCGCGCCAGAGAUGGUGUUUCCCUUGUGGCUUGUAUACAGGUGGUGCAUGGUUGUCGUCAGCUCGUGUCGUGAGAUGUUGGGCUAAGUCCCGCAACGAGCGCAACCCUUGUCUUAUGUUGCCAGCACGUUGUGGUGGGGACUCGUAAGAAACUGCCGGGGUUAACUCGGAGGAAGGUGGGGAUGACGUCAAAUCAUCAUGCCCCUUAUGUCCAGGGCUUCACACAUGCUACAAUGGUCGGUACAGUGGGUUGCCAGUCCGUGAGGGCGAGCUAAUCCCGCAAAGCCGGUCUCAGUUCGGAUCGGGGUCUGCAACUCGACCCCGUGAAGUCGGAGUCGCUAGUAAUCGCAGAUCAGCAACGCUGCGGUGAAUACGUUCCCGGGCCU